Non-coding RNA from Dermatophagoides farinae (American house dust mite), 722 nucleotides. NCBI's taxonomy places the organism in Eukaryota, Metazoa, Arthropoda, Arachnida, Sarcoptiformes, Pyroglyphidae. The record is from RefSeq and is a predicted model, not a curated record.
CUUUUGUCAUCGUCAUUGUUGCUGUUGUUGCUACUGUCAUUUUAUAAUCCUGUGUGGUGACGUGGUAAGAUAAAAUGAUUAUAAAUAAUAAAUUUAUAAGAUUUUAGGAGCUCUUUUUUUUAAAAAAUACAUACACGAUAUACGAUUGCUAAUGUAACGUUGAAUGAUUAUCAAUGAGAUACGGUAGAUAAUCAAUUUGUUCGUUAUCUAUUUUUGGUUAAAAAUUUGCUCAAAACUCAACAAAAUGUCAUACAAAUUAGUUUUACAUCUGCACCUGUUUAUGCAAGAGAUUAUUUUCUUCGAAAAGAAUAUCCAAUUCCACCGGAUGGUGAAACAUUUGUCAACACUUUUGUUAUGAUUUCAAAAAAAUGACAAUCAAACCAUGGUUUCCAAAUGGUCUUGAUUAUCAGAUUCUAUAUCGAUUAAGUACAACAAUUCAUACUGGAGAUGAAAUGAGCAACAAACAAGUAGCCAUUGGAUUUCGAACCAUUGACUUAAUGGUCAACUGUUGAUAAGAGAUAAUUUCCUAUUGUUUGGAUCAUUUAAAAAAAAAAAACUAAUGAAUGAUCAGAAAAUAUUUCUGCAAAAAAUUGAUGGCCUUUUUCAACAUGAUGGUUCUCAUUUCUAUGAUAUCCAAUUAAUUACCGUUAAAAUUGUGCACCAUUCAUAUGGUUAGAUCUGGUGAAUGAUUCUCAUUAUUUAGCAUUUUUUGCCUCAUCGUU